This is a long non-coding RNA of Leptidea sinapis, 635 nucleotides long. RefSeq lists it as uncharacterized. The transcript has 2 exons. NCBI's taxonomy places the organism in Eukaryota, Metazoa, Arthropoda, Insecta, Lepidoptera, Pieridae. The record is from RefSeq and is a predicted model, not a curated record.
CCCAUCAGUUGAAUACUGUUGGACCAAAAAUGAAGUCAAUUAUUCUUAUUAUCGCGAGCGUGGCGUACGCUAGUUCGUCUCCAGUCUAUGUGUACAACAAUGGAUACGUGCCACUCGCAAAAACAACUCUAACAUCGAGCAGCCAGACGGUGGACCACGGCAGCACCCACGUGCUACACCCCGUUCAGCCCGCACUCCUGGCGAAGACCACAUCAAGCCACAGCAGCCAACUCGUCGACCAUGGCACCACUCACGUCCUCCACGCGCCUCUGGUUCAAACCCACGAGCUGUCGCACCCCGUGUAUACAGUACAGCACGCCCCGGUAGUACUACCAUCGACCCUGGUUUCCUACAAAACUCCAGACUCCGCCAUCACCCAUCACAGUUCCACCACCCACGAGACCGUGCCCUACGUCCAAUCUAUACCGUUCUACACUUACCACCAUUGAUUUGUUAAAUACCGUCACGUAUUGGGUAUUACAUAAAGUAUUUUAACUUUUAAGUAUAAUUUAUACCAAAGCAGUGGUUCACAUGUUUGACGAAUAAUAAUGAGUUAAAAUAUUUUAUAUGACACCUUAAUGAAAGAGGCUUUUUUGUUACAACUUGUUGCUUAAAUAAAUUUUCUCCAAAAUAAA